RNAcentral lists this ribosomal RNA (457 nucleotides) under Sphenoraia pariei. Its description in RNAcentral is "eukaryotic LSU rRNA". Lineage: Eukaryota; Metazoa; Arthropoda; Insecta; Coleoptera; Chrysomelidae. The record is from RNAcentral.
GACGUCGCGAUCCGUUGGGUGUCUGUCGAAGACUUGGGGUGGAGCCCACGCGAUUUCGAUCGUGUGGACCCCCGAUGUUCCGACAGACUCGCUCGACGGUAUACUAAUGGCGCGAGGCCGCUACCUCAGUUAGCGUUCGGCCCGUAGCAAGCACGUUCUGUGUUUGACAGCGAUCGGACCUGGUGCCGAUUCUGUUCCGGAACGACUGUUGGUUACGGUGUUCUCUCCUCGAACAGACCUCGUUUACGAAACGCCGAUCAGCGACGCUAUCGAUUUGGGUACUUUCAGGACCCGUCUUGAAACACGGACCAAGGAGUCUAGCAUGUGCGCGAGUCAUUGGGACACGACUAAACCUAAAGGCGUAAUGAAAGUAAAGGUUUACCUUGCGUAGACCGAGGGAAGAUGAGCGGCUCGCCCUUAAAAGUGACCGCUUCGCACUCCCGGGGCGUCUCGUUCU